RNAcentral lists this ribosomal RNA (620 nucleotides) under Amiota setigera. RNAcentral describes it as "partial 16S ribosomal RNA". It matches the Rfam family "Bacterial large subunit ribosomal RNA", at positions 1845 to 2753 of the family's 2925-position model. Lineage: Eukaryota; Metazoa; Arthropoda; Insecta; Diptera; Drosophilidae. The record is from RNAcentral.
AUAAAGUCUAACCUGCCCACUGAAAUUUUUAAAUGGCCGCAGUAUUUUAACUGUGCAAAGGUAGCAUAAUCAUUAGUCUUUUAAUUGGAGGCUGGAAUGAAUGGUUGGACGAAAUAUUAACUGUUUCAUAUAAAUUUAUAAUAAAAUUUUAUUUUUUAGUCAAAAAGCUAAAAUUUAAUUAAAAGACGAGAAGACCCUAUAAAUCUUUAUAUUUUAUUUAUUUUAAUUAAUAAGAUUAUUUUUAUUAUAAUAAAAUAAAAUAUUUUAUUGGGGUGAUAUUAAAAUUUAAUAAACUUUUAAUUUAUUAAAACAUAAAUUCAUGAAUUAUUGAUCCAUUAAUAAUGAUUAAAAAUUUAAGUUACUUUAGGGAUAACAGCGUAAUUUUUUUGGAGAGUUCAUAUCGAUAAAAAAGAUUGCGACCUCGAUGUUGGAUUAAGAUAUAAUUUUGGGUGUAGCCGUUCAAAUUUUAAGUCUGUUCGACUUUUAAAUUCUUACAUGAUCUGAGUUCAAACCGGUGUAAGCCAGGUUGGUUUCUAUCUUUAAUAAAUUAUAAUAUUUUAGUACGAAAGGAUUAAAUAUUAGAAUAAUUAUAUUUUAAAUAAUGAAUAUUAUUAAUAUAU